Molecule: ribosomal RNA, 965 nt
Filed under: uncultured bacterium
Lineage: Bacteria
Description: bacterial SSU rRNA
Rfam family: Bacterial small subunit ribosomal RNA
Source: RNAcentral
GGGGGGGGUGGUCGGAUUAUUGGGCGUAAGCGCGCGUAGGCGGCCGUGCAAGUCGGUUGUGAAAGCCCGGGGCUCAACCCCGGGACUGCGUCCGAUACUGCACGGCUAGAGGCAGGUAGGGGAGAGUGGAAUUCCCGGUGUAGCGGUGAAAUGCGCAGAUAUCGGGAGGAACACCGGUGGCGAAGGCGGCUCUCUGGGCCUGUCCUGACGCUCAGGCGCGAAAGCUAGGGGAGCGAACAGGAUUAGAUACCCUGGUAGUCCUAGCCGUAAACGUUGGGCGCUAGGUGUGGGGGGAUAUCGACCCCCUCCGUGCCGAAGCUAACGCAUUAAGCGCCCCGCCUGGGGAGUACGGCCGCAAGGCUAAAACUCAAAGGAAUUGACGGGGGCCCGCACAAGCGGCGGAGCAUGUGGCUUAAUUCGAUGCGACGCGAAGAACCUUACCUGGGCUUGACAUGCGGGGUGAAACCGUGGAAACACGGCCCUCUAUGGAGCCCGCACAGGUGGUGCAUGGCUGUCGUCAGCUCGUGCCGUGAGGUGUUGCCUUAAGUGGCGCAACGAGCGCAACCCCUGUCCCUAGUUGCCAGCGGAUCAUGCCGGGAACUCUAGGGAGACUGCCGGUGCCAAACCGGAGGAAGGUGGGGAUGACGUCAAGUCAUCAUGCCCCUUAUGUCCAGGGCUGCACACAUGCUACAAUGCGCGGUACAAAGGGCUGCGAUCCCGCGAGGGGGAGCGAAUCCCAAAAAGCCGCGCUCAGUUCGGAUCGGGGUCUGCAACCCGACCCCGUGAAGUCGGAGUCGCUAGUAAUCGCAGAUCAGCAAUGCUGCGGUGAAUACGUUCCCGGGCCUUGUACACACCGCCCGUCACACCACGAAAGUGGGCAACACCCGAAGCCGGUGGCCCAACCCUUGUGGAGGGAGCCGUCGAAGGUGGGGCUCGCGAUUGGGGUGAAGUCGUAACAAGGUAAC